RNAcentral lists this ribosomal RNA (305 nucleotides) under uncultured bacterium. RNAcentral's name for it is "bacterial SSU rRNA". It matches the Rfam family "Bacterial small subunit ribosomal RNA", at positions 28 to 334 of the family's 1533-position model. The record is from RNAcentral.
GAUGAACGCUGGCGGCGUGCUUAACACAUGCAAGCCGAACGGAAAGGCUCCUGCUUGCAGGGGUACUCGAGUGGCGAACGGGUGAGUAACACGUGGGUGAUCUGCCCUGCACUUCGGGAUAAGCCUGGGAAACUGGGUCUAAUACCGGAUAGGACGAUGGUUUGGAUGCCAUUGUGGAAAGUUUUUCGGUGUGGGAUGAGCUCGCGGCCUAUCAGCUUGUUGGUGGGGUAAUGGCCUACCAAGGCGUCGACGGGUAGCCGGCCUGAGAGGGUGUACGGCCACAUUGGGACUGAGAUACGGCCCAG